RNAcentral lists this ribosomal RNA (425 nucleotides) under uncultured bacterium. RNAcentral's name for it is "partial 16S ribosomal RNA". It matches the Rfam family "Bacterial small subunit ribosomal RNA", at positions 354 to 796 of the family's 1533-position model. The record is from RNAcentral.
GUGGGGAAUCUUGCGCAAUGGGCGAAAGCCUGACGCAGCCAUGUCGCGUGAAUGAUGAAGGUCUUAGGAUUGUAAAAUUCUUUCACCGGGGACGAUAAUGACGGUACCCGGAGAAGAAGCUCCGGCUAACUUCGUGCCAGCAGCCGCGGUAAUACGAAGGGGGCUAGCGUUGCUCGGAAUUACUGGGCGUAAAGGGCGCGUAGGCGGACAGCUUAGUCAGAGGUGAAAGCCCAGGGCUCAACCUUGGAAUUGCCUUUGAUACUGGCUGUCUUGAGUUUGGGAGAGGUGAGUGGAACUCCGAGUGUAGAGGUGAAAUUCGUAGAUAUUCGGAAGAACACCAGUGGCGAAGGCGACUCACUGGCCCAAUACUGACGCUGAGGCGCGAAAGCGUGGGGAGCAAACAGGAUUAGAAACCCCUGUAGUCC